GGGGUCGAAGCGCAGGCCUCCGUAGAGCUCCGACAUGUACCGCGGCAUCGGCGGCCGAGGCUGCGAGGCCUGCUGCUGCUCCCGCUGAUUCGCCAUGGCGGUGGCGAACUGGUGAUUAUGAGAUCAGGCGAGCGUUUGUGGAUUUGUUGGCCGUCGUUGCCGUGGGGAAGGAGUAUUUAUACCUACAAACGACGAUGGUCACCAAACUAUGAAUCGGAUUGGAGAAGGCUACUCUGGGCUUUCAGUAGUAGAUCGGUGACUCGGUGGUGCAUUUCCGGGUUGGGAAGCGGAAGGAUAGUUUGGGUAUUUUCCGUUGGAUUUUGGCUUCACCGUGAGAUAUUCCUUUGUGCUUUUCUAAUACCGUACAAUCAUAAAUGUUUAUAUACACGUGCACACAUGAAUGUAUA
This 407-nucleotide long non-coding RNA is filed under the name Hordeum vulgare. RNAcentral describes it as "long non-coding RNA (HVUL_LNC005022)". Lineage: Eukaryota; Viridiplantae; Streptophyta; Magnoliopsida; Poales; Poaceae. The record is from RNAcentral.